RNAcentral lists this ribosomal RNA (146 nucleotides) under Xerocomellus pruinatus. RNAcentral describes it as "partial 25S ribosomal RNA". It matches the Rfam family "Eukaryotic large subunit ribosomal RNA", at positions 1 to 148 of the family's 3401-position model. The record is from RNAcentral. Lineage: Eukaryota; Fungi; Basidiomycota; Agaricomycetes; Boletales; Boletaceae.
UGACCUCAAAUCAGGUAGGACUACCCGCUGAACUUAAGCAUAUCAAUAAGCGGAGGAAAAGAACUAACAAGGAUUCCCCUAGUAACUGCGAGUGAAGCGGGAAGAGCUCAAUUUUGAUCUGGCGGUCUUUGGCCGUCCGAGUGUAU